AUUGAACGCUGGCGGCAGGCCUAACACAUGCAAGUCGAGCGGAUGAAGGGAGCUUGCUCCUGGAUUCAGCGGCGGACGGGUGAGUAAUGCCUAGGAAUCUGCCUGGUAGUGGGGGAUAACGUCCGGAAACGGGCGCUAAUACCGCAUACGUCCUGCGGGUGAAAGUGGGGGAUCUUCGGACCUCACGCUAUCAGAUGAGCCUAGGUCGGAUUAGCUAGUUGGUGGGGUAAAGGCCUACCAAGGCGACGAUCCGUAACUGGUCUGAGAGGAUGAUCAGUCACACUGGAACUGAGACACGGUCCAGACUCCUACGGGAGGCAGCAGUGGGGAAUAUUGGACAAUGGGCGAAAGCCUGAUCCAGCCAUGCCGCGUGUGUGAAGAAGGUCUUCGGAUUGUAAAGCACUUUAAGUUGGGAGGAAGGGCAGUAAGUUAAUACCUUGCUGUUUUGACGUUACCAACAGAAUAAGCACCGGCUAACUUCGUG
Molecule: ribosomal RNA, 484 nt
Filed under: uncultured bacterium
Lineage: Bacteria
Description: partial 16S ribosomal RNA
Rfam family: Bacterial small subunit ribosomal RNA
Source: RNAcentral